AAGAUACUGGUAUAAAAGAAAAUACACCGCUUUGUCAAGGCGGAGUUGUGGGUUAAAUACCCACGUAUUUUA
Molecule: transfer RNA, 72 nt
Filed under: Perccottus glenii (Chinese sleeper)
Lineage: Eukaryota; Metazoa; Chordata; Actinopteri; Gobiiformes; Odontobutidae
Description: tRNA-Asp
Rfam family: tRNA
About the family: Transfer RNA (tRNA) molecules are approximately 80 nucleotides in length. Their secondary structure includes four short double-helical elements and three loops (D, anti-codon, and T loops).
Source: RNAcentral